RNAcentral lists this ribosomal RNA (253 nucleotides) under uncultured bacterium. RNAcentral describes it as "partial 16S ribosomal RNA". It matches the Rfam family "Bacterial small subunit ribosomal RNA", at positions 524 to 776 of the family's 1533-position model. The record is from RNAcentral.
UACGUAGGGGGCAAGCGUUGUCCGGAUUUAUUGGGCGUAAAGAGCGUGUAGGCGGCUUUACAGGUCCGUUGUGAAAACUCGAGGCUCAACCUCGAGACGCCGGUGGAAACCGUAAGGCUAGAGUCCGGAAGAGGAGAGUGGAAUUCCUGGUGUAGCGGUGAAAUGCGCAGAUAUCAGGAAGAACACCCGUGGCGAAAGCGGCUCUCUGGGACGGUACUGACGCUGAGACGCGAAAGCGUGGGGAGCAAACAGG